GCAGGGGUAGCCAAGUCUGGUCAAAGGCGACAGAUCAUUGAGCACUGAUCAAUGAUGUCGAAGCUCAAGACCUGUUGGCUUAGUGCCUUCGUGGGUUCAAAUCCCACCCCCUGCA
The sequence is a transfer RNA, 115 nucleotides long. It matches the Rfam family "tRNA". From Rfam's summary of the family: Transfer RNA (tRNA) molecules are approximately 80 nucleotides in length. Their secondary structure includes four short double-helical elements and three loops (D, anti-codon, and T loops).